This 37-nucleotide non-coding RNA is filed under the name Chitinophaga pinensis DSM 2588. The record is from RNAcentral. Lineage: Bacteria; Pseudomonadati; Bacteroidota; Chitinophagia; Chitinophagales; Chitinophagaceae.
AAUGGGUGUGCCGAAAACCAUUAGAAACGAGUAGGCA